Molecule: ribosomal RNA, 248 nt
Filed under: uncultured Christensenellaceae bacterium
Lineage: Bacteria; Bacillati; Bacillota; Clostridia; Christensenellales; Christensenellaceae
Description: partial 16S ribosomal RNA
Rfam family: Bacterial small subunit ribosomal RNA
Source: RNAcentral
UACGUAGGGGGCGAGCGUUGUCCGGAAUUACUGGGCGUAAAGAGAGCGUAGGCGGCACUACAAGUCUCAUGUGAAAUACCUGGGCUUAACUUGGGGGUUGCAUGGGAAACUGUAGAGCUUGAGUACAGGAGAGGCAAGCGGAAUUCCUAGUGUAGCGGUGAAAUGCAUAGAUAUUAGGAGGAACACCAGUGGCGAAGGCGGCUUGCUGGACUGAAACUGACGCUGAGGCUCGAAAGCGUGGGGAGCAA